RNAcentral lists this long non-coding RNA (373 nucleotides) under Cyanistes caeruleus (blue tit). RNAcentral describes it as "lncRNA (ENSCCEG00000002945.1)". The record is from RNAcentral. Lineage: Eukaryota; Metazoa; Chordata; Aves; Passeriformes; Paridae.
CUCCUGUAGAGUACCAGUGAGCUCACUAUUUUUCUGAAUCCUGUUCUACACUGGGAGAAAAUUACACAUUAUUACAAUGAAACUAAUUUUACUUCUGAGUCAGACAGAAACACAUGCUCCACACACAAGGUCUUCAGAGCCUUAGAAGAAUAGUACAAACUCCUGCACAGAAUUUGGAAAGGACCCAAGAAAUGUAAGAAUGUCAAGACUUCAAGACUCAAGAUAUGGACAUUAACACAUUGAAGUACUAUUAACUGUUUUGUAGGUACAUAAAACUCCUUUAUUGCUCUGGCACUUUAAUAUUUCAAAACAGAAAAUGAGAUUACUCAGAGAAACUCAGAGAAAUAUUUUGCAAUAAUAAAGAGUUCAGUAG